AUUGAACGCUGGCGGCAGGCCUAACACAUGCAAGUCGAGCGGAUGAAGAGAGCUUGCUCUCUGAUUCAGCGGCGGACGGGUGAGUAAUGCCUAGGAAUCUGCCUGGUAGUGGGGGACAACGUUUCGAAAGGAACGCUAAUACCGCAUACGUCCUACGGGAGAACGUGGGGGAUCUUCGGACCUCACGCUAUCAGAUGAGCAUAGGUACGAUUAGCUAGUUGGUGAGGUAAAGGCUCACCAAGGCGACGAUCGUUAACUGGUCUGAGAGGAUGAUCAGUCACACUGGAACUGAGACACGGUCCAGACUCCUACGGGAGGCAGCAGUGGGGAAUAUUGGACAAUGGGCGAAAGCCUGAUCCAGCCAUGCCGCGUGUGUGAAGAAGGUCUUCGGAUUGUAAAGCACUUUAAGUUGGGAGGAAGGGCAGUAAGUUAAUACCUUGCUGUUUUGACGUUACCGACAGAAUAAGCACCGGCUAACUUCGUGCCAGCCGCCGCGGUAA
This 500-nucleotide ribosomal RNA is filed under the name uncultured bacterium. RNAcentral's name for it is "partial 16S ribosomal RNA". It matches the Rfam family "Bacterial small subunit ribosomal RNA", at positions 30 to 523 of the family's 1533-position model. The record is from RNAcentral.